This 464-nucleotide ribosomal RNA is filed under the name uncultured Verrucomicrobiota bacterium. RNAcentral's name for it is "bacterial SSU rRNA". It matches the Rfam family "Bacterial small subunit ribosomal RNA", at positions 338 to 795 of the family's 1533-position model. The record is from RNAcentral. Lineage: Bacteria; Pseudomonadati; Verrucomicrobiota.
CCUACGGGUGGCAGCAGUCGAGAAUUUUUCACAAUGGGGGAAACCCUGAUGGAGCGACGCCGCGUGGGGGAUGAAUGGCUUCGGCCCGUAAACCCCUGUCAUUUGCGAACAAACCUUGGCCCUGAACAGGGGCCGAGCUGAUAGUAGCAGAAGAGGAAGGGACGGCUAACUCUGUGCCAGCAGCCGCGGUAAGACAGAGGUCCCAAGCGUUGUUCGGAUUCACUGGGCGUAAAGGGUGCGUAGGCGGCAAGGUAAGUUUGUGGUGAAAUCUCCGGGCUCAACCCGGAAAUAGCCUCGAAUACUAUCUUGCUAGAGGAUCGGAGGGGAGACUGGAAUUCUCGGUGUAGCAGUGAAAUGCGUAGAUAUCGAGAGGAACACCAGUGGCGAAGGCGAGUCUCUGGACGAUUCCUGACGCUGAGGCACGAAAGCCAGGGGAGCAAACGGGAUUAGAUACCCCUGUAGUC